GUGCUCCGCAUUGGUACCUCUAUCUCGGUAGGGUCCGGCCUCUCGACGCUCUUCUGGUUUGACCGAUGGGCCGGCGACUCCCCCUUUGCGGCUCGCUUCCCCAUCCUCUUCUCUAUCUCUGUCGACCCCAUGAUUUCUGUUGAUAGGGCCCUUAUUGACUUAGGGCGCCUCGCUUUUUGUCUGCCAUUUGGGCCUGCGGAAUCCGCCGCCUGGCGUGAGCUGCUUGAUUGUGUCGCUCUGCAUGAGCCGCUAGUGGAUGGAGCCCAAGACCGUGUGCGUUGGCACUUGGAGUCGUCGGGCCAGUUCUCUACCAAAUCGCUCUACAUGGCCAUUGCCCCCUCCUCUCUCCCCCCCCUCUUGAUGGUGUGGUCCGUCCGUCUCCCACUGAAGAUCCGCAUCUUCAUGUGGCAGUGGAUCCGUGGUCGGAUCCCAUCCGGUGUGGAGGUCCGCAAGCGUAAUGGCCCAGGCACUGGUAUCUGCCCCCUCUGUGCUGUCCCCGAGGACUCCAACCACAUCUUCUUCGCGUGCGCCUCCGCCCAGUUCCUCUGGAGCUGCUUCCGCGAGAUUGUCGGGGGGGGGGGGAGGGGUUGGACCCAAACCAACUUCCCCGACUUAUUUGCUGAACUCCAAACGUCCCCCUCGUCCUCCCGCCACAUUAGGUGGCUGGAGGUUGGGGUCCUUGCCUGA
This 687-nucleotide ribosomal RNA is filed under the name Triticum aestivum (bread wheat). RNAcentral describes it as "partial small subunit ribosomal RNA". The record is from RNAcentral. Lineage: Eukaryota; Viridiplantae; Streptophyta; Magnoliopsida; Poales; Poaceae.